UACCAGUUUAACAACUCUUUCAUAAUAUCGAGCAAUAAUUUUGCUUACGUCAAAAUAAAGACAGAAGGCAACGAAAUGAACAGGACAAUCGGAAGAUAAUGGAGGUUGACUAGGAAGUCCUCCUUGUCCAUGUUUCCUGUGUGCGUUUGUGGCUAUCGUCGGCUUUCCCGCCGGAACCAAUGACGUCAGAUGAUGACGCCCGCGGAAGACGCCGCUAUCGUGGAGACACACGCGUCGUUGCACGCGUCCACAAGGAAUCCACCGUACCUGCAGACAAAAGUAAAUGGUUCCAGCCGUGAAACAAGUCAUUGCUCCGAUCAUAUGAGCCGCGACAACACGGGCUUCUUGAAAAUUCGCCAGAAUAUCGAGUCCAAAGCAACCUAGAAUGCCGCACCAUGCCGUCACAACAACGAUUUUCUUACUAACGAGAUCGUUGCCCCUUUCGAAUUGCCAUUGGGAAACUUGUCGAUGUCUAAUGUAUACGCAACAGGCGACUAAAAUAUAUGUGCAGUAUCAUUAACCGCGGUAGAUAUACGUUUAAACGUAAAACUAGUUGAUAUUUACGGAGUAAUGCAGCUAUAUUAAGGAAUUGGGCAAAUAUACACGAUUCCGGAGACAAGGUGCCUGUUUCCGAUAUGUACGGAAAUCCUGGUACUACGUGGUCCCAUUGCACCGACAUAGUGUAUCUGAAAUGCAAUUACUUUGAAAAUGGAUGCUCGUAUCUUACAUGUAGAGUGUUGAUUUAGAAAAGGGGAUUAGUUAAACUUUGAUUAUAGUUCAUUU
Molecule: unclassified non-coding RNA, 783 nt
Filed under: Bombus terrestris (buff-tailed bumblebee)
Lineage: Eukaryota; Metazoa; Arthropoda; Insecta; Hymenoptera; Apidae
Description: misc RNA ENSBTSG00005024491.1
Source: RNAcentral